AAGACCCAGUUGUCUACUGUGACAUCCUGCCCCACCAGGUCGGCGGCGUGGGAGCGCUCUCUGAAGGGAGGGUUGCUACCUGCUCACGAUCGAAUCCGGCGAGGCCCGGAAGGGAGCAGUCGUAAGGUCGACGUUCGACGCAGGUGGGAUCCCAGGGUGGAGAAAACGGCUAGGACACCGUGCUUGGAAGAGAUGCCCAUUGCCAGAGGACGCCAUCAC
RNAcentral lists this signal recognition particle RNA (219 nucleotides) under Candidatus Bathyarchaeota archaeon. RNAcentral describes it as "partial signal recognition particle sRNA". It matches the Rfam family "Archaeal signal recognition particle RNA", at positions 96 to 317 of the family's 317-position model. Lineage: Archaea; Thermoproteati; Candidatus Bathyarchaeota. The record is from RNAcentral.